CAGGCGGGCGGAGACGGGGCCGCGGCUUCAGGGCUUCCGCCCGGCCGGGGGCAGAGCCGCCUCGGUGCUCCCGCCCUUCCCGGAUGCCGACAUGGCGGAGUAUUCCUGCGUCAAAUCCACCAAGCUCGUCCUCAAAGGGUCGAAAGAGAAGAGCAAGAAGAAGCACAAGGAAAAGAAAAGGAAAAGGGAAGAGGAUGCGGCAGAGCAGCUCGAUAUUGUUGGAAACUGGUGGGCUGUCAGUAAUUUUGGUGAAAUUACAGGAACCAUAGCUAUAGAAAUGGAUAAAGGAGCUUACAUCCAUGCCCUCGACAAUGGCUUGUUUACACUUGGAGCACCACAUAAAGGUGAUGAAGGCCCUAGUCCUCCUGAGCAGUUUACAGCAGUAAAGUUAUCUGAUACAAGGAUUGCUCUCAAGUCUGGUUAUGGCAAAUACCUUGGUAUAAAUUCAGACGGGCUUGUUGUUGGACGUUCCGAUGCAAUAGGAUCAAGAGAGCAGUGGGAACCUGUCUUCCAAGAUAGGAAAAUGGCAUUACUAGCAGCAAACAGCCGUUUUAUUAGGUGUAAUGAAGAGGGGGACAUAGAAGCCAAAAGCAAAACUGCAGGGGAAGAAGAAAUGAUAAAGAUUCGUACUUGUGCUGAAAGAGAAGCUAAGAAGAAAGAUGAUGUUCCACAAGAAGACAAAGGAAAUGUUAAACAGUGUGAAAUCAAUUACGUGAAGAAGUUCCAAAGUUUUCAAGACAAAAAGCUUAAAAUAAGCAAAGAAGAUACAAAAGCCCUUAGAAAAGCCAGAAAAGAAGGCACUUUUCAUGAAAUGCUGCUUGACAGGAGAGCUAAAGUGAAGGCAGAUAGAUACUGCAAGUGACAUCCAGCUGGCCCAUUUUCUUCUGCAGCUUUGAUGGCAGCGUCAAAUUGAAAAAGAAUUUUUGAAAACUGACAGAAGAAACCUGGGCUAAAUGGAGGGCCUAAGGUGCUGUUAUGGACCCUGAAGGCAAGGCAUUGUGACAGGAACACAGCAGAAUAGCCAUAGUCAGAGAAGGUGACUGGUGCUGGAAGAUAACUAUUUCUUAAACUGAGAAUUUCUUUACCAAUGAAAGAACUAAACCAGAAUCACGAAGAGGCCUCAAAAAAGUACAGUGUAAUAUGACAAUGACGUAAUUUUGUCUUCAGAGUAUUUGGAAAGAGUUUUUAAUUUUCCUAAGUCAUUGUUUAUUUUCUACUGUUAAAAAUGUACUAAAGGUGGUAAAGCAUCUAAACAAAGAUAAUGAAGUCCCUAACAGCUGUCUGCUUCAUAUAUAAAAGAUGACCAAAAGGGGUUGCAGGUGUUCAGAAAGUAUCAGGACCAACUUAAUCAGACUCUUUCUUACCGUAGCCCAUAAUAGAUUAUUCAGAUAUCUGGAAGUAAACACAGGAUU
Molecule: RNA transcript, 1412 nt
Organism: Passer domesticus (house sparrow)
Lineage: Eukaryota; Metazoa; Chordata; Aves; Passeriformes; Passeridae
Gene: FRG1
Gene name: FSHD region gene 1
Exons: 10
Source: RefSeq, a predicted model, not a curated record